Felis catus (domestic cat) is the source of this 4028-nucleotide long non-coding RNA. RefSeq lists it as uncharacterized. The record is from RefSeq and is a predicted model, not a curated record. The transcript is spliced from 4 exons. Lineage: Eukaryota; Metazoa; Chordata; Mammalia; Carnivora; Felidae.
UUCUGGAUUUCAGAGGAGGGUUAGGACUCUGAUAGGCCACACCAGGGUCCUCACGUGCCCACUCCUGGGGGUGGGGAGAGGUGAGGUGGGAGCAGCUCUACACAGCAUACUCGAUUGAGAAUGGGAUGGGGGCAACCCUCAGAAAUGAGGAGGGAGACCGAUGAAGAGAUCAUGUUGGGUUGCAGAAGCGCAGGUGGCCAUGCAGCUGGGGUGAUGUGGGAAAUGUAACGUCUCCAGAAUUUUUAUUCAGCAGAGGUUUGGUGGUUUUGUGGGGUGGGGGUUUGGAGGCAUUGUCUUGGCACUGCGUCUGCAUAAAAUGCGCUCUGUUAUGUCGAAUUUGUAUGUUCAUUUGGGUUAGUGGGUCAAGUAGUGAGGUUUGGCUGCGUUAAAAAAACAAAAACAAAAACAAACCAAAAAAACCCAAACAGUGACUUCUACAAGAUUUUUCCCUUACCUAUCACAAGUCUGGAAAUACUUAGUCUUCUCUGGGGCUAGUGUGAUGGUUUUAUGAUCAUCAGGAAUUCAGGCUGCUUUUUCUUUUUGCUCUACCAUCUUCAGUACAUGGCUUUUUAUCGUCUUGAUUCCCUCAUGGUACCUAGAUGGUGGCUGAUGUUUGAGCCAUUACAGCUGUAUGUUAGGCAGCUGGAAGUGGGAAGUGGUGAGGGGCCGAGCGUGCAUUUCAUAGCUGAAUUCUCUAAGGAUUUAAAACUUGAGGGGUAAUCUGUAAGAAGCUUUUCAGGAUACCACCCCCUCCCCCACGACUUCUGCUUCUAGCUCUUCGGCUCCCCUAAUUGCAAGGAAAGCUGGGAAAUGUGAUUGCGUCAUUGGCACAUGAAGGAGGGAUAAUGGAUAUUGGGUGGAUAGCCAGCUGUCCUGGCCCCAGGAGGCUGAUGGAAGCUAUGUGGGAGGGGUGGGGGUGGUGCUGCCAAAGCUCCUCCCCGCCUUCCCUGUUCCCACCACCCCCAACCAUCCCUUAGUGCUGUCAGCAUCGAGAAAAGCUUCAUCAAAGGCACAGGGGUCAUCAUUGCAAGAGGAUCCGGUCCCUGGGUCUAGAAGUGUCCAUGUCUCUCUGGGGACUCCCAUACAGGAUAACAUUUUAUUUGCUCACCCUGAUUUUAUCCCCUGUAGGAUGCUUUCCCCUGCUAAAUCAUUGAAAGAGCAAUUGCCUGGAAAUACUAAGUAUUGAUUCAUGAUUUCUGUUCAUUUCUUCUUUAUUGUUCGGCGAGAAAUGAAGUCCCAGAAAUGGAACAGGAGCCCUCGGACAGCUUCAGCUCCCUCCUGGAGAUAUUGCCCAGGUGUCUGAAUGCCUGCACUGGGGUACCUCCUUUUCUGAUGGACUGGAUUCCCCUGCCAGCUGAUUCUUCUUUGCCGCCAGUUCACACUGUGUCAUUUUCAGCUUCCUAAGAUGGGAAAGACAUAUACACAGUCCAGGAGCCAAGGUCCACAAAUUCUGCCUUUUUACCUCCCAGCACUCUUGAAGGCCUAGAUACAAAUACCUUUCCCCCACCUCUCCCAUAAAUGCACAGACUGACAACACAGUCAGAGAAAUGAACUGAACACCCCAUUUAAGUUAAAGAAAAUUCAACCUCUGUCUGCUGCCAUGUCUCUGCUGUCAGACCUGUUUCCUCUCCUUCAUCAUAAAGUCAUCAAAUAAUAUUGCACUUUGUGCCUUCCCAGAGCUGAACUUUGGUUUGAGAUGGUGAAGGCUCAUUUCAGUUCAGUGUCAAAAACCUUGUCUGACCACCCAUACCCAUUAGGAUGAAGCAAGGGAUCAUCACUAGUCUCACACCUCCGUGGGGAGCCCUGAUUCUCAGUCCAGAAGUUGUACCCUGACAAAGACAAUCACCCUAAAAGACGACCUUCCAGGAUAUGGCUUCCCCAACAUUGCAGCUCACUCCCAGACAUUGCUAGAGUCAGGAGUACAACCCCUGCGUCCACCUUCACAUAUCCUGGUGGAGGAAAAGGCCAAUCUUAGAGCAGCAACAUCACCUGAGGUAGAACCUGAUAUGAACUGUCACACAGUCUGGGUUUAUCUCCAGGAAACAGAUUUCAGAUGGAAAACUAUCAACUUCAUGGAGCCAAUGUACUUGAAGAAGACUCAGUUCGUUGACAGUGAAGGCAGCAAAGGGAAAUGCUUAGAAAGGCUGGUUUGCUGUGUUGCCCUCAGACUAUUUUGUUCAUGGUGUUACUUUAAAGGGUUUCAACUUGGUACUGGAUGUAUUCAAGAGUCACAUGCAAAAUUGAAAGACUCCUAGAAACGGACACAAAACCUCUAGACAGAGAAAGGCACAUGCAUUUCCUUCCGGCAUCUCAGGCAGUCCUUCAACAAAUGCUUUCUGGAGUGGCUGGAAUGUAGUGGUUCUGUUGUAAGGGAUUGAAAAUAGAAAGGUGGCCAGGGUGCUGUACGUGCUCUCCAAAAGAGCUUAGAAAUGAUAAAAACAAGAUGCCAGUGAGACAGAGCAGGCUCCACCCCAGGUGUGGGAAGGACUAACAGAAGCUGAGUCUCCAGGGAAGAGAAGGAAGUAUUUCCUUUUCAAUGUGAAUGAGGGACUCUAAAGGCCCUGAUCUCCUCCUGAGAACAAAAGGAAAUACUGUACAAAGGAGGAAACAUGUGAGCGAAUGCACCAAAUUUCUAAUGACCCCAUGAAGACACAUGUGACCAAGAUGGAGAAGAAGGAAGCCCAGGACAAAGCCAGCCUGGCAGUGGGAACCAAUCUCCCCAGGACUCAUCAAUGAACUUGGGGAUAGAAAACUGAACUGCAAAAUAGCUGAACAACUUUAUGGGCACAGACUUAGAAGGAAACGUGUUUAGUUCAGAGGCAGCCAGCAAAGAUGAGCCCUAGUGAAGCUGCGGGCUUUGGUCAAGACUCAGAGGAGUUACACUUCAAAAAUCAGGGGACAGGAAAUAACUCAGCUUCCUUAGGGAUUGGCCUGCUGUGAACAAUCUCACUAGCAGAACUGAUGCAGGGAUCCAGUACUACUGGCACCCCUACCCACUUUCCAGAAAUAAAUUUCUGUGGUUUCUGCAGCAAGAUCAUUGAUUUUUUCCCUACACAUUCUUGACCCAUGUGUGGUCCUGAACAAAAAUGACCUAAUUCCUGGAUGACAAGACAACGUGAUGGGACUGAAUCCCAAGCAGAUGCAGAUAUCAAUGUUAUUAAUGCUGACACCUUCCCUCUUCCACCCCAAAUACAUGACACAAUAUGUGACAAGCACUUAGGACAGAAAGGAAAAUGCGGGUGACAGAAAGCCAGAAAGCUCUUCUGAAAUACUACAUGGAGUUGGCUGUCUGCUGAAUUCAUACAGAGUUAUGGCACCUCAGGUGCCAUGAUUUUUUCCAGACUGCUACAAACAAAAUAAAAGCCACCGAAUGAGAAAAAGAAUAAAACACGGCUAGAGCUAAAGCACAAGCAACAACAGAAAUAACAGUUGAUGUUUAAAAAAAGAGCAAAAAGAGCUCUGCAGACCUCAGUUCUCCUGAUAAAUUCUAGCUCAUCAAAUCUAGGCAUGACCCGGUUUUGACACCAUUAACAUAUUUCCCCAUUCUAAAGUUUGAAAGGACGAUGAGAGGCCGAGGCCAGCCCUAAACUCUUGCCAGGAUAUUAGAAUAUCAUCAUGCUAUCAAAAAGCCACUUAGGAACCUCUGAGCUUCCCUGUCCCUUGUCACCCAGCCCCACAGGCGGGUAAGUGAAAAGGAAUAUGAACACACCAAAUACUCAAUAUUUGUGUUUCUGUGUGAAGGCAAGUUUUCUCCAGUGGCAGGGAGAGGGGCAAAUACUCAUUUAGAAAUAAAUUCCAAAGUACUCUGUUCUUCCAGAAAAGAUCUGCCCUCAAGAGGAACGAAGAGCCUAACUGGGGAUUUCCCAAAGAGUAAGCAAUACAGGUGAGGGAAAAUACUCAACUCCAGGGCUCUCACCUUCCUGUCUCACCUGGGAGUCAAUUCAGACUAACCCCUAGCCAGAUAAAUAUAAAAACCUCACACUCAUGUCCUAUUUACCUCAGUUCCUUUACCAGCACAUAACAUUUGC